UGGGGCUACUUACUGCUAGAGAGGCCCGCUUGGGCCGAACAAUCACAUGGGGGCUCUCCCUCCAUCCUGCGCCUGCGCGGCCCCUCUGUCUCGUCACUUCCGGCCCGGGCCUCCCAGCUGGAAGCGGCUGCGGCGGUGGCGGUGUCUGAAACUGGGCGAGCAGUUGCCCUUCCAGAGAUUCCCAACAUCAGAUUGAAACCAAAAAGGAGACCCAGGCAUUUGAGUUGAGUGAUUGGAUCAGACACCCCCAGCUAUGACCAGUUCCCCUGUAUCUAGAGUUGUCUACAAUGGCAAAAGGAAUAGUAGUCCCCGGUCUCCAAGCAACAGCAAUGAGAUCUUUACCCCAGCUCAUGAAGAGAACGUUCGCUUCAUUUAUGAAGCAUGGCAGUGUGUGGAACGAGAUCUCCGGAACCAGAUGUCUGGCAGUGAACGAGGCCUGGUGGAGGAGUAUGUGGAAAAGGUUCCUAACCCCAGCCUGAAGACUUUCAAACCUUUUGACUUGAGUGACCUGAAACGCCGGAACACACAAGAUGCCAAGAAGUCCUAAGGGCAGUGGCCUGGCCGCUCCCUUCCUCCCCAUGGCCUCUGGAAGAUUGAAAGUUGCAGAAUUUAUGUUGGUUUUUCUCCCUCUCCUCUGGGCCCAUCUCCCUGGCAGGGCAAGUAAAGGGCCAUGCUCAUGUUGGGCUGAGUACCUGCAAGGAUGGACUUGAUUGACACUCAAGGCCCUCCCUCCCCUUCUCCUCCUUCCUUUUUCUUUAGGGAGGUUCCAAGUUGUUACUGUGACUUGGGGGACUUGGCCCCUGUCACCACCCAUCCUCUCAUACUCUAACCUGUGUGUCUCUGGAGUUGCCUGUCUCUGUCUGCCCUCCAAGCAGCCUAGGGCCCUCAUUUUCCCUUUUUGGCUUUUAGAUGCCAAGGCAGCUGAGCAUGGCAACCCUCCCAUCUCUUCCUGUACUUCUGAGAUAAGGUGGAAGGAGCAGGGGACAUCUGGGGGGGCCUGGGACCAGUGGGAGUUGAAUCAAAUUAGUUCUCUAAGGUGGUGAGGUGGGAGCUCCAUCCUCCCACAACUUGGUUCCACUGUAAACAUCUGCUAUUGCCUCUGUCUUGGGCGAGCUGGGAAAUCUCCAUUCUUCCUUUCCCAGGUGUUCAACUGAGCCUCUUUCCCUGCUUUCCAAACCCUUUUGGCCCCAGCUCCCUCAUGCCUGGGUAGCCCUCUAGGACCCAUUCCCCACAGGGUUAUCAGGCAGCCAUGCCAAGUGUCUCCUAAAUCAGCAGCCUCUCUCCCUUAGGAGCCCCACACCCUGAGGCUCAGUGGCUGCUAUUGUUCCCUGGUCUAUCCUAUUCCCAGCUGGUAGUUUUACUGAGAGGGUUACCAGUAGUUCCCUUUUUUCUUUUUGUUACAGUUUGAGAGCUGAGUUGUUUGCCAUUACUCUGUAGCCUGAGGAGCUGUAAAUAAAGAUGGGGUUAGGCGUUUGGAAUGUGCCUCUGGCUGAGUUUGUAGCCCCCUAUAGCCAAGUUGGUCAGGCCUGAUAUUGUUUCAAGGGCCCACUCAAUACUAGUACCUUGAGUAUCAGGCCAUUUUUCCUCCUAGGCCUUGGGAUGGGCUUCCAGCAUGAGACCUGAACAGGUGGUAGAAAGAAUCUUUUACAAUUUUAUCUUAUGUGUCAAGAAUAUAUUGUCUUUCUUAGGGCUUUGGAUUUGAUAAAAAUGAAAUUAGAGGUUAUGAGCAAGAUCAUGAGAGUCCAGAUAUUAUGGGAUGUCAUUAAUAUAUGCUCAAAGAGCUUUCCUAACAAAGGAAUUGUGAAAAUUUCUCUGCUCCCAUGAUAUUUAUUGGCUUGACUUUUCAUUAGAAGGCACUGGAUCUGAGAGCCUGCCUCUCCUGGUCAGUAGUGACCCCUGCUCUGGCUCAAACAGUGGCAGAAUUCCUUUCAAUAGUACCAGCUUCUCUAUUAGGCCCAGUUUGGUUUCUGUGAUUUAUCUCAUUCCCUCCUGACCCUAUUGUACCACACUUAGUUUAGUAGAAUAGUCUCCAGUCUUUAUGGGAUAUGGUGCUCUUGGGAAGGGAACAGUAACUUUCCUGUGUAUUUGGACUGGACCUCAGAUUUCCAUUAAUUUCUGCUCUACUCAGAAGAUCUAUCUCUUCUGACAUCUUUUCUUUGAACCUAAUAGAGAAACCUGUGGCCAACAAACAGUAUCCCAUCUGAGGUUUGAGUUCUCAAAUUUGUCAUUAGAUUGACCUAGAAACAUCCCCGACAUUUUGGUCUGUCCAGACAUGGAACAUUCCUCCUGUCUCAGGCAAUUGAAUUCAAACAGGAAUUCUCUAUGAAGAUUUAUUUCAGCAAUGCCCUUUCCCAGAAUAGUCUCCUGGGACUUGGGUGGCAUCUCAGGCAGUAUCAAUGCAAUCCUCUUCCCCCAAGCUUAGGCUAACAGCUGAAGCCCUCUUUGUGCCCUGCCCUGAAUCUUAGCUCCUACUCUGUGGGCACCUUUGCUGUCAGGCCUGGCUAGCUAGCCACAGGGAGGGGAGGGACUGAGAACACAGGGGGAGGAAAAUUUGGUCUCGGACACUGGGAAUAGAUGGUGAUAGUUCUGAGACUGGAGACACAAUCUGAGGAAACGGGAUUCAAAAAAGCCAGAGUUAGCCUUGUUUGUACUUUCAUACUACCAAUUGUUGGUAUUAUAGAGCCAGAAAGGACUUUAGAGAUCUUCUCAUGGAACAGACAAGAGGCUGAGGCUUAGAGCAGGAAGGAAUGUGAUGUUUCUAAUCACUGAAUGAAUUAAUGACAGAGCCAAGACUAGAACCCAGGCCUCUUGACUCCUAAUUAGUAUACUUUCUACUUAUGGAGUAUUUAUCAGAUUGGUUUGGUUUCCUGACAUAAGACUGGAGAACAGAGAGGCAACAGCAACCUGGAGGCCUCUCCUAACCAUCAGUCUGAUACUUGUGACAGCUCAUUUCCUGUCCUAUAUUACAUGGACAUCACUGGAUCCUCGGGGAUCCUUUUACUCACUUUCUCUGCUAAACUUUCACAAAGUCCUUUAAAGCAUUUGACAGCAAUGAGACUGUUUCUACACUUGUGACUUCUGUGUACUGCCAAAGAGAUUGAAUACUAUCUUUUCAAAAAAUAUGAAGAUAUUCAGCUCACUAUGGUUAAAACUGGUUUGAUAGACACUAAAAAGCAAAAAUUUCAGUUUAGUUAAUGAUUCAAUUAAAAAAUAAAGUUUAGAGAAUAAAAAGAAUGUGGUUCAUUUCAGUUUAAGGGUUUACAGUUAGGUAUAGGUCAAGGUCUUAAUCAAGAAUUGACCUGACCCUAGUCAUGGCAAAUUAAGGACCAGUCUUGCCAAUUUUCCACCAUUGAAUUAAUCACUCUUAUCUGUAUCUGUUAUCAACAACCUUUACUUAUAGCUGAUGAUCUCCCAUUCAUGGAGGAUUGAAAAUAUCUGGUUGAAAUUACAGUCUAACUCUAAGUCAAUUCAAUUCAGCAAAUAGGUAUCCACUGUGUGAUAAGCAUUAUGCUAGUUACUACAGAUACUAAAACAAUAGCUUACAUUCUAUGGAGAAGAUAACAGCAUUCAUACACAUAAAAUACAAGUACUUUGAGGAGUGAGCAUUCACUAUGGAGAUUAGGAAAAAUUUUUACAUGGGAAAUGAUAUCUGGACUGACCCUUGGUGAAGAGCCAAGGGAUUUAAUAGAGAGAUAUGAGCAGGGAGUACAUUUACUGAUUCUUUAUUCAUGACAGGCCCACUGACUAGGUGUCUUCAUUGCUCUGUCCCUGAGCCAUUUUGCCUUUUCUAUCUACACUAUCUUGGUAAUCUUAUUAGCUCCCACGGGAUCAAUUAUCUCUAUAAAAAUGAUUGCCAUAUCUAUGUAUCCCUUAGGCAUCUCAACAUUAUCUUUUUCCCAAACUAUCCCCUCUCCUGAGUUUCUCUAUUAUUGUUGAAGGCACUUCCAGCCUCCAGGCUUAAAAUUUCUGUGUCAUCCUCUACUUAUUCUCUUUCACAAAACAUUCAUUUGAUUGCUAAAUCUUGUCAUAUCUAUCUUUACAACAUCUCUCCUAUAUAUUCCCUUGUUGUCUCUUGACUUAUUUCAUUAGCUUUUAAAUUAGUCUCCCUGCCAUAAGUCUUUCCUCACUCUAAUCCAUAUUUCAAUUGCCAGAGAGAUUUUCCUAAAUUGCAGGUCUGAUCAUGUCACUGCUUUAUUUAUUAAACUCCAGGAACUCCGUAUUAUCUCUAGGAUCAAAUGUAAAAAUCUGAGUUUUAUGUUUAAUGCUUUUCUUAAUCUAGCUCCUUCCUAUUUUUCUAAGAAUUUUUUUUUUUAACUUUUACAAAAGAGUUACUUAUCAAGAAGAUAGGGCAGAGCCAAGAUGGCAGAGAUUAGACAGCUCUUUGCCUGAACUCUUUCUGGCUUGCUUCAGAAUCAAUACCAGAUCAAGCUUCUAAAUGCAUUUUGGAGUAAUAGAACCCAAAAAUAUUUGGAAUGUAACAAAUUUCCAACAGAAGAUAUUUUGAAAGAAUUUCAGAAAGGUUUGUCUCAUUUGGGCAGGGGAAACACAACCCACUGCAGGCGCAAUGCAGGCAAGGCCCAGGGUGGAGAAGCUUCCACAUGGCAGGGGAAUCUAGUGGGAGGCUCCUAACCAAAAUACAGCAGUGUUGGCUACUCUGUCCUGGUUCAGAAGUCUGUGGAUCAGCAGACUUAGCUAUGAAAUCUCCAGCACCACUACAGAAUUGUGGUGUCCCUGAACCCUAGCAUAACAAGUGGGACUUGGCCAUGCCCACAAGAAAGAAGCCAUUGUUGCAUUGUAGAGGAAGAUUGGGACAAUUUUCCCUUUCCCCUAAGAAUAGAUUUCAACCUUUAAAAAUGAACAAAAAUACAAAAAGAGCUCUGACUAUAGAUAGCUAUUAUGGACAUAGGGAAGAACAGAACCUCAAACCCUGAGGGCACUAAAGGCAAAACAUCUUCAGAUGAAGUCUCAAAGGGUGAUAAGAGUUUGCCUUCGACUCAAAAUACUCUCUUGAAAGGAUUUUAAAAGAGAGAAGAAAAAUGGGGAAAGGAAACACAGAAAGUGUCAGAAGAAAAUAAUCCUUAAAAAAUAGAUUUGGCAAAAUGGAAAAAGAAAACUUGAAAAACAGAAUAGGUGAAAUGGAAAAAAGAGAACAACUUUAAAAAUAUGGUGAAAUGGAAAAAAAAUGCAAUGAACAAAACAACUCAUUUGAAAGUUCAAUUAGCUAAAUUCAAAAGGAGGUAGAAAAACUAACUGAAGAAAAUAAUUCACCAAAAAUUAGAGUUGAACAAAUGGAAGUGAAUGACUCAAUGAGACAUCAAGAAUCAGUUUAACAAAACAUUAAAACAUGAAGAAAUAAGAAAAUAUAAAAUACCUCAUCAGAAAAGCAACUAGCCUGGAAAAUAAAUCCAGUAGAGACAAUCUAAUAAUUAUUGGACUACUUGAAAACCAUGAUGAAAAAAAGAUCCUAGACAACAUCUUUCAAGAAAUCAAGGGAAACUGCCCUGAUGUUCUACAACCAGAGAGUAAAAUAACCAUUGAAAGAAUCCACCAAUCACCACCUGAAAGAGACCCCAAAACAAAAAUUCCAAGGAAUAUUGUAACUAGAUUCCAGAAUUAUCAGAUUGAGGGAAAAAUACUGCAAGCAGCCAGAAAGAAUUCAAAUAUCAAGGAGCCACAAUCAAGACUAUUCAGAACAUAGCAAUUUCCACUUUAAAGGAUCAAAGGAAUAUUGUAUUUUGGAGGGCAAAAGAAUCAAGUGCCCAGCAAAACUAAGCAUUAUCUUUUAAGGAAAAAGAUGGCUAUUCAAUGAAAUAGGGCAUUUCAAUUAUUUUUUGAUGAAAAGAGUAGAGCUGAACAGAGAAUUUGAUCUAUCAAGAAGAUAAAGCAAGAACAGAAAUAUAAACACAUCCUCCUGAAUCAAGGACACUCCAUAUCACCACCAUUACCACCACCACACUAGUCCCUGGGGGGAAUGAGUUCACCCUUGAGUUGAUUACUUUAGAGUAUUUGUCCCACUAAUAUCACUUCUGAAUGUGACAUGACUAAUGAGUGAAGAAGACCCUUCCUUCCAGAAACCAACAUUUUGGUGUCAAUCCUCAUCAAUCUUCUCUGUCCACAGAUUCUCGCAAAUAUAUAUUCCAGUUCCUGGAUCCCUAGUUUUCUCCUGAUCUUCUGAAGCUCACAGAGUUGUAGUCUAGUCCAUUCCAUCUCUAAUGUUCCUUCACUAGGCAGGAAAGAAUAAUGGACACAACAGGGACAGAGCAGCAGAGCCAUGUGCCUGUGGCUUCAUGUUGUUCAGGCCGGUAUGCAGGCUGCUGAUACUUGCUCUCCAUCCAGGCUUCCAUUUGUCCUUGCUUCCUUCCUUUAGGGCAUCCAGGCAGGAAAGAACCUACGGAUUAGAGUGAAGAAGUUUCCUCCUCCUAUGCUCCCUUCCAUCUACUCCACAAUCCAGCUGCUUGGCCUAAUUGCCGUUCCUCUCAUGUGUUAUAUUCCAUCUCCCAUUUCCGUGCCUUGGCAUUGGUUGCCCCCCCAUGCCUAGAAUGCUCCCUCUUCUCACCUUGGCCUCCUUGAAGUCUCAGCUCAAAUCCAACCUUCUUCAAGAACCUGUUCCCUAUUUCCCCAGCUACUAAUGCCUUGCCCUCUGAUUUUACCUUCUAUUUAUUCUGUACAUAUGCUAUAUUUACCUACAAAUUGUUUCCACCCAUUAAAAUGUAAGCUCCUUAGGUACAAGACUACAGAAACUUUUUUUUUUUUUUAAUGUUUAUAUUACUAGUGCUGAGCUUAGUAUUUGGCAUAUUGUAAAUGCUUAAUAAAUGCUUUUGGAUUAACUGAUUCUAGGCAAAUGGGUAUGAAGGUAUGAAGAUAGAAAAUGGAAUGUUGAGUUCAGAGAAUAGCUCAGAGGCCAUUUUGGCUGGAAUUAGAACAUGUGUAUAGAGGAGUAAUCUGAAAUGUUUGGAAAGGCAGGUGGGAAACGGUGGUAGAGGGCUUUCCAUAUUUGGCUGAAGAUUGCAUUUUACCCUAGAGGCAACAGGAAGUCUCUAAAGAUCUUUGAUCAGGAGAAUAACAUGUUUGGACUUCAUUUUAUUUAUUUUAUUUUCAGCUGUGUGAUGGAUGGAUUAGAGAAGGGAGAGAACUGGAGCUGAAAGCUGGAAGAUCAGUUAGGAAGCUUUUGCAGUAGUCCAAGUCAGAGAUGAUGAAUGCCUGAGCCUGGAUGAUGACCAUGUCAGUGGACAGAAGGACACUAAUGCAAGAAAUGUGGUAGCAAAAUCAAGAAGGCUAGGUAAUAGAUAUGGUGGGAGAGGGGAGAAUAAAGAAUGGCUCCAAGGUUGUGAACCCCAGGUACUGAAAGAAUGUUGUUUGUUCUCCAAGAAGACCAUGACAGCAGAGAGCAUUUGUGAUGCUGUGACAUGCAAGUGAGUUGGAUCUAAGUGAAGGUGGGCUGUGCAAGGUCACCUGUCUCAGUUUUCCCUCUAGAGCCUUCUCAGUGGUCCAAUAUGGAUCAGAAUGACUGGAGAUAGCCCUGGUUGCAUUGGGAGACUUUGCCCUCUUUAAGCUCAGGUCCUCAACAGGUCCCAGUUUGAGGCUGAAUCAUUCAGUGAUUAAGGUUGGGUAGUAAAUGAGGCAAAGUAUCUCCUCUUAAAUGUAAUAAAAAAAACAAUAACAAAUAAAUCUGGGAGAGAAAGAACCUUCAGAGUUUCUGGGCAAAACAGAAAAGACUGCUAUUUGCAUUCACUCUGAGGACCCAAACAAUGACCACUCUCUGACUCUCAUAACUUGGCCAACUAAAAGGAUGGAUGGUGGUACUAUCAAUGAAAAUAGGGAUAUUUGGAGGAGAGGUUGAAUUUUGGGAGAAUAUGUAAUUCCUGGGGCAAUUUGUUGACACAGUGGAUAAAAUGGGCCUGGAGUUAGGAAGUCAUCUUCCUGAAUUCAAAUCUGACCUCAGAUACUUACUAGCUGUGUGACCCUCUGUUGUGAUAAAUCACUUAAUAACCCUGUUUGCCUCAGUUUCCUCAUCUGUAAAAUGAACUGGAAAAGGAAACCAUUCCAACAGUUUUGCCAAGAAAACCCAAAAUGGGGUCACGAAGAGUUGGAUACAACUGAAAAACAACUGAACAACAAGUAUAAUUCCAUUUUGGACGUGAAUUUGUGGUGCUUAUGGCACAUUCAGGUGGCAAGAUGUCUGGGGUAUAUUGGUUUGGGAGCUUUGAACAGAAUGGUAAUAAAUGAAUCCACAGGAGCUGCUUUGCUAACUCAGAGAGAACUAGGAACUAAAAAGACACAUGCAGACUUACUGAUGGAUGAUGAUCCAGGGAGGGUGAAUAAGGAGGAUGGGGGAGAAUUAAAAGAAAGUAGUAUCAGGAAAGCCAAGGGAGAGAAGAGUAUCCAGGAGCUGGGGAAUGGUCAAAAUGUGCCAAAAUCUGCAGAGGUCAAAAAGCAUGAGAACAGAAAAGACCCUUGGAUUUGAUGAUUAGGAAAUUAUUGGUAAUCCUGGGAAGAGUAAUUUCAGUAGGAACUCAGAAGUACAGGCAUACUUCAGAUAUAUUGUGAGUUUAGAUCCAGAACACCACAAUAAAGUGAAUAUUGCAAUAAUGUAAGUCAUAUGAAUUCUUUUGGUUUCCUAUUGCAUAUAAAAGUUAUGUUUAUAUACUGUAGUCUAUUAAAUGUGCAAUAGUUACUAAUGUCUAAAAAUGUGCAACAAUUAAAAAUUAAUGAAAUUUAAUUUAAAAUACUCUAAAAACAUUAUUCAUGAAAAGUGCUAACCAGCAUCUGAGCUUUUAGUCAGUGGUAAUCUUUUUGCUGGUGUAGGGUCUUGCCUCAAUACUGAUGGUUUUUGAAUGAUCAAAUCGGUGGUGGUUGCAGAAAGUUGGGGUGGCUAUGGCAAUUUUUAAAAAUAACACAACAAUGAAUUUGGCUGCAUUGAUUGACUCCUUUCAUGAGAGAAUGUGCAAUGAUGUUUAAUAGCAUUUUGCCUGCAGGAAAACUUUUUUCAUAAUUGGAAUCAAUUCUCUCAAACUCUGCUACUACUUUAUCAACUAAGUUUAUGGAAUAUUCUUCAGUGUUAUAUUUCAGGGAAUAGGGAGGUCUGAGGAAAGGGGAAGAUAUAAUCAUGGCAGAUAUAAUAAUUUUAAAAAAGCUUAAAAUGCUAUAAAAAUCGCCAAAAUGUGACACAAAGUUUUUGGAAAAAUGGUGCCAAUAGACUUGCUUCAUUCAGGGUUUCUGCAGACCUUGUCUAUUAAAACAAAAAACUAACUGCAUUUUCUUUGUAGCACAAUAAAACAAGAUAUGCCUGUAUGGGCAAAGACUUUCUAGGAGUUUGACUAUGAAUGGGACAAGAAAUAAAGGACAGUCACUUAAAGCCAUGAGGUCAUAGUCUUGGUCAUAUUUCUAGGUGAUAGGAAAGGAGUCAGCAGGUUUGUGAUGUAGGGCAUAAGUUUCCAGAGGAGAUGGAAAGGGAUGAGAUCAAAGGCACAAUUAAAGGGUUUGACCAUGGCAAGAAAAAAAGAACAACUCUUGCUGAGAGAUUGGAGAAAAGAAGGAAAGACAAGAGAACCAUACAGAGAGUUUUUUUGGUGUAGAAUUGAUAAAAAGGAAGCUCGCAAUGGCUAGUCUCCAUUUAAAAAAAAAAAAGGUGAAGUAGGCAGCUAAAAUGAUUUGGAAACCAUUGGGAUGAUCUUAAGUAGCUCCCUAAUAGUCCUGGUGCUUACAUAUUAAAGUUCUACAUAUUUUAAUUUAGAGCAUUAGAAGUAGUCAGCAAAGUCCAAGUCAACCUGGACUUCUAGUUGAAGUGCCUCUCUUAGGCUACGUCACUUCUUUGAAUCUGUUUCCUGCUCUCUAAAAAAAUAGCCCUAUCUACCACCUAAGGCUUCUAAGGAUCAAAUGAGAUAAUGUAUAAAAUGUGCUUUGUAAAUCUAAAGUACUAUAUAAACACAAGCUAUUAUUUGUAUGUAAACAUUAAGCUUUAUUGCUUUAUCUUCUACCCUCCCAAAUGAUUGUGAAUUAAAUUUCCUCCAGACUAAUCUAAACCACAGUCAUUCUGUCCAUUCCAUACCUGUCUGACUGCGUCACUUAGGAAGCACUUUGACAUUUGCAAAACACUUCACAAAUACUGCUUAAUUAAAAAAGACUAAAACAAAUAUUAAUUUUAUUCCUGGAACCACCCUGGGAGGUAGAUACUAUUAUUAUCCCCAUUUUAUAGAUUAGAAAACUGAGGCCCAGAGAGAUUAAGUGAUCUCUUAGAGAUCUCUAGAGAGACUCUAUGGGCCAAGGUUUUGUGUUGAGAGCAUAAAUGUGGGUCCUUGAUUAUUUUUAAAUAUUAGAAGAGGAAAAAAGGUGCGUGGGUGAAAGAGCAGAGAAGAAGGUGACUCAAAAAAUGUAUUGUGACUCCCAGAACAAGGCCACUAGGAUUUGGGUCUAGAGUAAGGAAGACUUGAAUUCAAGACUUGCCUCAGACACUUCCUGUCCGUGUGUCCCUAGCCAAGUUACCGAACCUCUCUCUGCCUCAGUUUCUUCAUCUAUAAAAUGAGGAUAAUUAUAGGACCUACUUCCCAAGGUUGCUUUGAGAAUAAAAUAAUACUUGCAGAGUGUUUUGCUAACCUUAAAAGGCUGUGUAAAUACAGCAAGGUAGCAGUCAGCUGCAUUGAUAGUGCUCGAGCAUGGUUUAAAAAAAAAAAAAAAGGUUCAGAGAGUUUGGCCUGGAGGAAAACUUACAUUGUACUGAAGUUCACAAACAGGCUGUUUGAAGGGUAGAGGGUUUAAUAAAUGCAUUCUCUAGGUGUUGGAAACACAUCAGACAUCUUCGGGGCCCCAGGGGACAUGAAAUAAAGAGAAAAGAAAAAAGGAGUUUGGAACAGUCUUGACACUCCAUUACUAGCCAUGCAACCUUGGACUUUCCUCAGUUUCCUUAUCUGUAAAAUGAAGGGGUUGUACUGGAGGGUUUCUAAAGGUCAUUUCAGCUUUAGUAGUGUUGUUUAGAUGUGACCUGUGACCCUCAAAAUGCUCUAGGCUUUCACAGACCAUGUUGGAUCCUAGGGGCCUAACCAAGAAUAUCCGCUUCUCUCUUUGGCUUGUUAUAUUAUCACCUCAGAAUUUAUUCCAGGGAAAUCUUAGGUUUCCAGAAGCAGGUCCAAUCAUCUGCUGCUGCCUGUCUUCUGAAGUGGGCAAAAGGGAAAAGGUCAAGAGAUGGCUGCUGUUCUCCUUUAAAGGAGGCCUUGCCCCAAAUGGCAUUUCCUACAGCCAUGAAAAGGUGGCCUCCCACAUCCCAGUCAGCCUCUCCUAGUGAGGCACUCCCAAGAGAUGAAAAAUGGAUGGAGUUUUCUGUGGGAUCUCAGCAAAGCCGCAGGAAUCCACAGCCAUAUUCUGUGGGAAGGUGCUCCCAAAUGCCCCCAACAGAAUUACCCAUUUUUGUUGUCGUUGGUCAGUCAUUUCAGUCAUGUUCCGACUCUUCAUAAUCCCAAUUGGGGUUUUCUUGGCAAAGAUACUGGAGUGGCUUACUAUUUCCUUCUCUAGUUUAUUUUACAGAUGAGGAAACUGAGUCAGACAAGGUCAAGCCCUAGGUCACACAGCUAAAGUAAUCUAAAGCUGGAUUUGAACUCAGAUCUUUCUGACUCCAGGCUCAGUAUUGUAUCUGCUGUGCCACCUGGAUGUUCCAAAUUACCCACACAUAUCCUUUAAUCCCAUCCAGUUGAUCAGGGAGCUAAUCUCCUUGGGGGGUAACCCUGAAGUGAGUGGGAAAGCUAUCAUCAAUAAAGAAAUCGAAAAGGGACUUAUUUCCUCUCUCCUUCCCCAGUUUGGGGGACCAGGCUUAUGGGGUGGGAGCCAGAUCCUUCCAAUCAGAAAGAGACAAAAAUUAAGGCUUUGAGAGAACUUCUACAGACUUGGGCAGUCUGGCACAGGGCUGAUUCCAGAAAACCACGGCUUCAAAUUAUCCAACAGCGUGCCCUGGUGGGGAAAGCUUGUGAGCCUGCCUUGCCUGGAACUUUCCCCAGAAGAAAUGUCAGAUGUGGUAGGGGAGUAGGGAGCGGGCUAGUUCCCUGCCUUUUUACUCCCCAUCACCUUUUCACCCUAUUUAUUCCCUAUCCUGACCCUGGAAGGAGCAAAAGUUUGAAUAUAGUCACAAUACAAAUAUGACAAUGAGAUCUCUGAAAAGUCCCCUUUAUACACUUUUUGCAUCAGAAAGUAAAACUGUAUAAUUAGAGGACCUGUGGUUUAAUCCUGGUGAUACCAUUUGCUAGCCGUGUGAUCUUGGGCAAGUCACUGACCUCCCUUGGUUUCCUCAUCUGGAAGGGGCUCAGACUAGAUAGCUCUCUCUAAGGUCUCCUUCUAGCUAGAAAAGUUGUGGUUCCAUGAUCCUUCUGAAACUGGGGAAGGGGGAGGUUUGAAAUGAACAUACUUGGCCUCUAGGCAUUGAGGCCCAGCAGAGCCACUUUGACCCAAUGAUCACACUCCUAGGAAUACAUGAAGAGGAUUUAUUAGCAGGGGGAGAAAAAAACCUCUCUGCAAUCAAGUAUUCAGGCCCACGCCGCUUCAUUCUGUGCAACUCUUUUUUUGUGUAUUUGAUUUAUUUAAUAUUUUCCCGGUUACAUUUAAAGCAAUUUUUUUUUUUUUACAUUUAAAAAAUUUUGAGUUCUAGGUUCGUUUAUCUCCACCCAAAAUUAAGAAACCACAUGUGAAGUUAUACAGAACAAUUCUGUGCUACUCUUGUCAAUGCCUCCCAUAAAUUCUUCCAAGGGGAUCUCCUAGGGAUGAUCUUUUACUCCCUCUUUACAUUAUACUGGUACCAUUGUAGCUCAUGGAGUGGGAUGGGAUCAUUCCCAACCCCCUCGUUUUAAUAAAUGAGGAAAUAGACUUAGAGCAGUAAUUUGCUCUCCUCCUUCCUCUGGACUUUAGCUUCCUUGUGAAGGUAAUAGAAUGCUAUUGUCUCUAAGAAAAAUCAGAGAUGAAGGCUAUAAUUAUGAGAAGACUUGUGUAAAAUGAAACUUACUAGAAAAAGCAGAACCCCAAGUAUACAUAUGCUGACAGCGUCUCAGUAGAUAAUAAAGGCAGCAGCAAGAAGAACCCUGUAAUAGAGGCUUAGAAGGACUCCCAGAAAAAAGUUUUUUUUUUUUUUUUAUUACCUUAUACACACCUCUAAAAAACUGUAAAUCCAAGAAACUACUUGUUUAUUUGUUUCAUUCGUGUCUGGCUUUUCAUGGCCCUAUUUAGAUACUGGAAUGGUUUUGAAAAAGCCUUCAAUGUUGCACAUGGUUAGCAGAGAGAAACUGAAGAAUUGGUUAAAUUGAUCCCUAGGUAUAGGCAAGAAAAAGGCACUGACAGAGAUAGUUGUCCCACUCUCUGGGGAGGUCCUCCAGGCAGAAAUCCAAGUUAUGUUAAGGCCCACCCUCUGUGGGGACCUCAGGCAGCCUUACCUUGCCAUGUCCUGUCAGAAAUCCGAGAGUCAUGUUCUUUGAGGUUAAACUCUCCCUAUGAAAUCUACUUAUGGCCCAAGGCUUUGUAGCUGCCUUCCUUGGGCAGCUGGUACUCUGCCUUGGUGUGUCUUUCUCCUUUACCCCUCCCUCAUGCCAUGUGGUAUCUCUCCUGACCCCCACUUCUCCUCCUUACAGCUAACUAACUCUUUUGGGGGGCUAAGUCCCUCUCAGGAUUUAGCCCACUAGCUAAAGACAUGUUCCAGUCACAUGGGGCUCCCUUUCCACUGAGUAAUUGUGAGUUCCACUGAGGAACUUGUCUUUCAUCCACUCUCCCACUCUAUUUCCUAUUUACCAUUCCUGGUGUCUAUUGUACCUCUUUGUUUUGUCUUUAACCUCUUCCCCUUUGGCCAAAGAGAAUGGUCAUUGUGAGUUCUUCAUGGACAGAACCCCAACUUUUGGUGCCUACUGUCGUCCGGUGAGUCCAUCAGCCACACCAGUUUGCUGUUUCUUUUUCCAGCUCAUUUGACAGAUGAAAAAAAAGGGGCUUCGUGAUUUGCCCAGGGUCACUCAGACAGCAGGUGCCCAAGUUCACACUUGGGUUCAGAAAGAAGAGAUUCCUGACUCAAAACUGCCCUUAGCUCAGAGUUUCCUGUAUAAUUGUUUUUCUUGUUUGCACAUUUACAUAUGUGUUGGGUAGAAUUUAAAAAAAUAAUUAGUAGUUGUCAUGUCUGUGAUUUCUUCCUCCCACACAGAGCACAAGCUAUUCUCUUGCCUUUUCUGAUGUCCCAUAUAGGGAGCACUGUGGUGCUCCUGGAUAGAUUUUACCAUCUAUUCCCUAGGUGGUGAGCCAGGAAGAGAGUGUGUAUCUCUUCUUCUCCCUUUUUCCCUCUUUCCCUUCCUCCUUCCCUCCCUCCCUCCCUCCUUUCUUCUCUCCCUCCCUUCCUCCUUUUUCUUCCUUCUUUCCUUCCUUCCUUCCUUCCUUCCUUCCUUCCUUCCUUCCUUCCUUCCUUCCUUCCUUCCUUCCUUCCUUCCUUCCUUCCUUCCUUCCUUCCUUCCUUUCCUAUUUUUUCCUUCUUCUCUGUCCUUAUCUAUCUCUCUGUUUCUCACUCUGUUACUGUUCCUGACUCUUUAUCUACAGAAUUGGGGUAUGUGUUUGAAGUGGUGUUUGUACUCCCAUUGGCUAUGUAUUUAAACUCUAUUUGGCUGUGUGGUGCAUUGGAGUAGGGAGAAGGGUGCAGCCAUGGGGAGUGCUGAAUUCCUCCCAACUCCUUCUCUGCCCUUUUCCCAGCUCAUUAAACAUAACCAACUACUGCAGGUGGCAUUAAUGAGAAACUCUCCUUCAAUCCUCUCCCUUUUCCUUAUCUGACAUUGCACUCUCCUGAAGCUCUCCCAGAUUUAUCUCCUUCUCACCCAGCUCUGCCCUCUCCCAUUAGCUUCUUUAGUGGGCAGACCUGGGGGAAGGAACAAAUUGCUAAGAGAUUAUAGUAAAAAAAAAAAAAAAAUGGGAGGCACACAUCACAUAUCACACUCCACAUAAAAGCAGUCACACAAAAAUGACAGUCUCCACAAAAAUGACAGUAGUAUACAUGCUACAUAAUACACUAUAAGCAAGAUAUACAAUAAUAAUAGCAUUUGCAUAGCACCUUUAGAUUUGCAAUAUGCUUUAGAUGUUAGCUAAUGUGAUCCUCAAGAUAAUUUUGUGAUGUCAGUGCUACUUUUAUCUCCUUUUUACAAAUGAGGAAUCAAGAGGCAUAAAAAUAUUGUCCAGUUGCAUAGCUAGCAAAUUUCUGAGGCAAUGUGACGCCUUUCUGCCUAGGCAAUAUUACCUGUUCCACCACACAAUUUCCAUAUACAUAGGUAAUGCUUCCCUAUUAUUCUGCCCAUAUGCACACAAGGUCACUCUCAUACUCUGUCUCCUUUGCCACUGACCCAGGACAUUUGUACUACAUGCAAGCAGUUGUCCCUUUUUAUAUUCUAUACUUUCUAAUUAUGAUUACUUAUAGAUUCCAAAGGACAUAGAAGAGAAACUAGGCACAAGGCACACAGACAUCAGACUAGCCUGUGAUCUCAGAAUAGUGGCAAAGGUGUUUCAAGAACUUAGGGCUCUGAAUCAGAAAAUCUGGCUUUAAGUUCUUAACACUUACCUUGUGUGACUUUGGGAAAGUAAUUUUUUCUCUGGGUCUCUUGGAAGCGGCAAGAUGAUAUCUCAGGUUCCUUCUAGCUCUGACAUGAUUCUGUGAGGGCAGAGAAGAGAAUGGGGUCUGGGCCUGUCAUUAUUCUACAGUCUCACAUCUGAAAAAAAUUGGUGUUCGAACCCAUGAUCUCUAAGGGCUCUCCAGCUCUGAAUCUAAGAGAGGUCCAUGCAUGGUGCUGGGGAUGUGACUAGCCUUGCCAUAAAGCGAGACUUACUGGUGGGGGAACCCAGCCCAGGCCAGUCUCCUGCCCCUGAAGCUCCUACUCAGCUUUUCUGGAGCUCCAGGGAUGGAGGAGGGAGGCAGGGAAGGGGAUGGGGGAGAGAAGGAGGGCAGGGGACUGGAGUGCCCCAAAGGAGGCUGCAGAGAGGGAAGGGAAAGGAAAACCUGGGGCCUUGGGAGGAAGCUGGGGGAUGGUGGUGGGUCAGGAGGUGAGUGUGCUCGGGGCAGGAAGCAUAAAUCCCAGAGAAUUCAGCCUGCGUGAGGGAGAAUUUAUGCGGCACCUUUGCCAAGCCUCUGAGGCAGCAGUGUUCUUGUACUGAUGGAUGGUUGGUCCUGGGUAUGUUGAGGGGAGGCGGGGUAGGUCGGCAGUUAUCCCCCCCGCCAUUUCACUCAUUUCCCUCCCCCAGCCCUGCGCAAGGACAGCCAGAAAGACUCAAUCCUUCAGGAAAGGCUCAGCUCAGGUUGUUCACAGGUCCUGUUUCUGAAAGUGGACUGGAAUCCAGGUGGCAUGGGGCUAUUAUCCAUGGGAGUCCUGUGAAAGGCACUGGAAGGCCAGGGGAAUGGGACAGCUUUAGCACCAGAGAUUUAGAGCCGUGAGUUCAUGCCAGGGAUGGCCUGAUCAGAGAUAUGGAGAGAACAAACGUCUGGCCUUCUUUCCAUAAAUAAUCGUAAUGUCGCCAGCUUCAGCUUGCUGGUACCCUUGGAGGCCCCCUGGCUGGGUUUGGGACAUCACUGUUGUCACUGCUAGAUUUGGAGUAGAGGGGGAGUCUAUAAGAUGAUAAUAUUUAGAACUGGAAAAGACCUUAAUGGAUCAUCUCAUUUAAUCAUAUUUUACGAAUGUGUAGAAAAACUAAGAUCAAGGAGUUUAAAAUUCUUCACUCCAAAAAAUAAUCAGUGAUGGAGCACAAACCCAGGUAUUCUGAUCCCAAGUUUAGACUUAGCUCUCACCAAAUCCUACACAGCAGAAUGCAGCUGUCAGUAAGGGAGAGCUCUGAAACUCUGAAACUCAGGCACUGGGCAAAUCACUUCUCUGGCUUUCGGUGUCCUCCUUAAUAAAAUGAAGGCUAUGGACUCAGUGACCUUUAAGGUCCCUUUCAGAUCUCUAGUGAGAUGAAUAAAAAGAGAGACAGAGUUUCUGAGUAAUUAAUAAUCACUUAGGUUCAGUGGUUUCUAUCAAUAACUAAAGGCACCUAAUGGUGACACUGAAUGACACUGAAUGACUUAAUGUUUUUGUUUGUUUGUUUGUUUUUUGAAAAGGACAGCUCCUGACAGGAGAAAUCAACUCUGCUGAACAAUGAACAAAGGAGUGGGCAUUUAAAUCAUGAAACUUAGUCUCAUCCAGCAAUCUGGAGAGGUGACUAUCUCUACCCAGACCCCUCUGGUUAGUGCUCUCCUUCAAGAGUUGGAUCCCCCUAAACUCUAAGGAAUAGUGCAAGAGCAUAGACUUAAAUGCUUUAGGGUUGGAAUUCAUCUAGAUUAGGUUCUUUUUACAUUCUAGACGAGGUCUUUCCCAAGAUCUAUCAACAUGUUCCUGGAGAAUGUGGUCAGUCUCAUCUAUCAACCUUGUCUUUCAGAGACUGGCUGAUUCACCAAAAGGGUUGGUUUCUGAAUGAAAAAUAAAGAGAAAAGGCUUUAAUCCUAAUUUAGUAAUUAGUUAUUGAUAUAACAGAAAAAGAUUUCCUUCACUAGCUAUGUUUCUGUACUGAUAAAAAGGACUCAGCUGGGAUAAGGGGGAAUAUUGGGGACUUAAAGUGAAGAAAAUGUGUAGCACCUACAAUAAAGAAUGUUUUAGAGACUCACAGUUUCAAUAAAAGGACUAUGGGGUAAUGGUGAGAACCCAAACUCUAUGUCUUGCUUAGGAAUUGAGUAACUGCAUGGUACUGACAGGUAGAAACAACUGAACUUAACACUCUGUUAGAAUAAUUGGUUAAAAUAGGAAGCUAUGGUUAGUUUUGUUGAAUUGCUUUUUUCCCUCUUUCUUUUUUAAUCUUUGUAAUAAAAGGACAGCUGGCUGGAGAGGGGAGUAGGGAAAGAUAUAUUUGAAAUGGAACAUGAUGACAAAGCAAAAGACAACAAUAAAUUAAAUUUUUAAAAAAUGAGAAAAUAGGAAACCAGAUGAGCUCUUUCUUCUGGGGGGAAGGGAGAAAAAUACCACCCCAAGUGAUUGUCCAUGUACUGAUGUCUUUGGGGUUCAACAUCAAAUGAUAAGAUUGAUAUUCAGGCAUCAAACAAGAUUUAGGAGAGCAAUUGGCACCAAAUGUUAGGGUUCAAUCAUGUGAUGAAUUCACAAUAGUCAUUCACUUCAGCAAAAGUAAAUUUAUUUAGAAGAGGUUACAGACAAAAUGAAGAGAUACAAUAAAUACAUUGAGGAUACAAGAGGAAUGGUAAAGGUGAACUAGAUUUGGGAGAGCAUAUUGUUAGCAAGGAAGGGAUUUUAACAAUUAACAACGGAAAGGACAAGUUCCCUAGUGGAACUCACAAUUAACCAGGAGAAAGGGAAUAUUCCAUGAGGUUGGAGUAUGCCCUUAGCAUAAAUUCAUAGAGUUUAGCACACUAGAAGAGUUAAUUAGCUGCAAGGAGGACACUAUGAGG
Long non-coding RNA from Sarcophilus harrisii (Tasmanian devil), 18409 nucleotides. NCBI's taxonomy places the organism in Eukaryota, Metazoa, Chordata, Mammalia, Dasyuromorphia, Dasyuridae. The record is from Ensembl.